UUUAUUUUAGUCCAUACUGAUAAAACACAGGCCAAUCAGGUUAGAUUACCUUAAACAUGAAGAUGUUUUUUAAUGACAGGAAAGGGAAUUGUAUUUAGUAAUACAAUAAGUUGUUUGUAGCUCGAUGGGCCCAUGAAUACAGUUGCUUCAGCAAUAUGAAGAAAAUCUGUCUGCCCCACUAUAGGCCUGCAUCUCAGCUGUGCAAAAACUGUCCCAACAGGUCCACCCCCUAAGGAACUGUAUCUGUCUUCCUAUAUCUUCCUCCUCACAUUUGCAAGAAUUAAGUGAUCGAUACUCCAACCAGGACUAGAGGGGCCUUGCCCCUGGCCAGGCAGAGGAGGACAACUGAAUUUACCGGACUGUGUGGAUCCGCUGGCCUGGCACAUCAGAACAGCAGGAGUACAAGGCUCCAGUGGACACCAGCACAGAGUGUAACCUAAUGCCAUCAAGCUACCAGAGACAGAAUCCUUCAGUAUCUCUGGAGUGAAUGGAAAUUGAAUGGAGAGUAGAGGCUAAAGGUGGACUAUCGUGGGCUGAAUGAAGUCAAGUCACUGCUGAGUGCUGCGGUGCAGGACACGCUAGAACUAGAAUAGGGUUCCAAGCAAAGGUCUCGUUGCACCUCCAGGCGGGAGUAUCAGGAUGUGUGUGCUCAGCACCAGACAGCAGUGCCUCAGAGAUAAGCCUUUGCUUCAUAAUCUUACUACUGAGAUGAAAGUGUGCUAAAGUAAAAGAAAAAAAAGACAAUACGAAAUGCUUACCAUGGAAUUCAUUAUCAAGGAAGAGAAUUUACAAAUCAAAAGUGUUCUUCAAGCAAGAAAGCAAGAAAACAAAAAAAGUGGUUAUAACCUCCCUUGGACUUUCCAUCUAAGCUGGGAGUAA
RNAcentral lists this long non-coding RNA (879 nucleotides) under Anas platyrhynchos platyrhynchos (common mallard). RNAcentral's name for it is "lncRNA (ENSAPLG00000031064.1)". Lineage: Eukaryota; Metazoa; Chordata; Aves; Anseriformes; Anatidae. The record is from RNAcentral.